Molecule: ribosomal RNA, 253 nt
Filed under: uncultured bacterium
Lineage: Bacteria
Description: partial 16S ribosomal RNA
Rfam family: Bacterial small subunit ribosomal RNA
Source: RNAcentral
AACGUAGGACGCAAGCGUUAUCCGGAAUUAUUGGGCGUAAAGAGCUCGUAGGCGGUUUGUCGCGUCUGCCGUGAAAGCCCGGGGCUCAACUCCGGAUCUGCGGUGGGUACGGGCAGACUAGAGUGAUGUAGGGGAGACUGGAAUUCCUGGUGUAGCGGUGAAAUGCGCAGAUAUCAGGAGGAACACCGAUGGCGAAGGCAGGUCUCUGGGCAUUAACUGACGCUGAGGAGCGAAAGCAUGGGGAGCGAACAGG